Non-coding RNA from Pelobates cultripes (western spadefoot toad), 168 nucleotides. Lineage: Eukaryota; Metazoa; Chordata; Amphibia; Anura; Pelobatidae. The record is from the annotation of a GenBank genome assembly.
GCAGACACAUUCCAGCCAAUCAGCAGCAUUCCCCCCCUCCCAGACCCUCCCACCUCCUGGACAGCAUCCAUUUUACAUUCAUUGUGAAGAUGUAUUCUUAGUGAGCUGUCCAGGAGGUGGGAGGGUCUGGGAGGGAGGGUCUGCUGCUGAUUGGCUGGAAUGUGUCUG